RNAcentral lists this ribosomal RNA (1456 nucleotides) under uncultured bacterium. Its description in RNAcentral is "16S ribosomal RNA". It matches the Rfam family "Bacterial small subunit ribosomal RNA". The record is from RNAcentral.
ACGCUGGCGGCAGGCCUAACACAUGCAAGUCGAACGGUAACAGGAAGAAGCUUGCUUCUUUGCUGACGAGUGGCGGACGGGUGAGUAAUGUCUGGGAAACUGCCUGAUGGAGGGGGAUAACUACUGGAAACGGUAGCUAAUACCGCAUAACGUCGCAAGACCAAAGAGGGGGACCUUCGGGCCUCUUGCCAUCGGAUGUGCCCAGAUGGGAUUAGCUAGUAGGUGGGGUAACGGCUCACCUAGGCGACGAUCCCUAGCUGGUCUGAGAGGAUGACCAGCCACACUGGAACUGAGACACGGUCCAGACUCCUACGGGAGGCAGCAGUGGGGAAUAUUGCACAAUGGGCGCAAGCCUGAUGCAGCCAUGCCGCGUGUAUGAAGAAGGCCUUCGGGUUGUAAAGUACUUUCAGCGGGGAGGAAGGGAGUAAAGUUAAUACCUUUGCUCAUUGACGUUACCCGCAGAAGAAGCACCGGCUAACUCCGUGCCAGCAGCCGCGGUAAUACGGAGGGUGCAAGCGUUAAUCGGAAUUACUGGGCGUAAAGCGCACGCAGGCGGUUUGUUAAGUCAGAUGUGAAAUCCCCGGGCUCAACCUGGGAACUGCAUCUGAUACUGGCAAGCUUGAGUCUCGUAGAGGGGGGUAGAAUUCCAGGUGUAGCGGUGAAAUGCGUAGAGAUCUGGAGGAAUACCGGUGGCGAAGGCGGCCCCCUGGACGAAGACUGACGCUCAGGUGCGAAAGCGUGGGGAGCAAACAGGAUUAGAUACCCUGUAGUCCACGCCGUAAACGAUGUCGACUUGGAGGUUGUGCCCUUGAGGCGUGGCUUCCGGAGCUAACGCGUUAAGUCGACCGCCUGGGGAGUACGGCCGCAAGGUUAAAACUCAAAUGAAUUGACGGGGGCCCGCACAAGCGGUGGAGCAUGUGGUUUAAUUCGAUGCAACGCGAAGAACCUUACCUGGUCUUGACAUCCACAGAACUUUCCAGAGAUGGAUUGGUGCCUUCGGGAACUGUGAGACAGGUGCUGCAUGGCUGUCGUCAGCUCGUGUUGUGAAAUGUUGGGUUAAGUCCCGCAACGAGCGCAACCCUUAUCCUUUGUUGCCAGCGGUCCGGCCGGGAACUCAAAGGAGACUGCCAGUGAUAAACUGGAGGAAGGUGGGGAUGACGUCAAGUCAUCAUGGCCCUUACGACCAGGGCUACACACGUGCUACAAUGGCGCAUACAAAGAGAAGCGACCUCGCGAGAGCAAGCGGACCUCAUAAAGUGCGUCGUAGUCCGGAUUGGAGUCUGCAACUCGACUCCAUGAAGUCGGAAUCGCUAGUAAUCGUGGAUCAGAAUGCCACGGUGAAUACGUUCCCGGGCCUUGUACACACCGCCCGUCACACCAUGGGAGUGGGUUGCAAAAGAAGUAGGUAGCUUAACCUUCGGGAGGGCGCUUACCACUUUGUGAUUCAUGACUGGGG